AACUAUAACCGUGCUAAGGUAGGAAUUCCCAUGUACGUGCACAUGGGAGCUGCCCCUCCCACCAGCGAUGGCGGUGAGUGCAGCUGGCUAUAUGCUGGAAAACCCGGACGUAUCCAUUCGGUACUAGUCGUUUUUUGUCACACCCAUUCAAUAGGGUUAUGGCAUGGACGGCAGUGACAAUCCGAUGGUGAGUGGUUCAGCAAGAGCCGCGCCGGAAAAUCAGCAGGAAACCGCAACAGCGGGAUCCUCAGAGACCAUACGCCAGCCACCUCGCUCUUUGACGAGGUGAAGAGAUGGUCCGGGCCCUGCGGCGACGUAGGGAGGCUGGCGGAAACGACCAGCCCCAUCUAAGCGGAGAAUAGCGAAGAUGGUAACAAUUCCCAGCGAAAUUCCUUGUCGGGUAAGUCCAACUUGCCCCUUGAGAGAGUGAUCUCUCUAGCAAAUCCGGCUAAUAACGGGGAACCCCUAACUCAUUCGAGCGGGGAAUCCCGUGGGAAGUCGAGAGCUCCAUGCUCUUUGACCCCGUAACGACUGAGGCGAAAGCCGAGAUGGCGUUCCUGCCUUAUGGCAAAUCAAAGGACGUCAUAAGACGCCGGCCCUCUGAGCACGUAGUCAGUCCAGUGCAACAGAGGUGAAGGGAUAGUCUGCGCCCCUAGAGAUAGGGGAACAACGUGAAGUUCCGACCUGCACGAAUGGCGUAACGAUUUGGGCGCUGUCUCAAUCAGGGACUCGGCGAAAUUGCAAUACGAGUAAAGAUGCUCGUUACCCGCGGAAGGACGGAAAGACCCUAGGACCUUUACUGCAGCUUGAUAUUGGAGUUUGGGACGUUUUGUGUAGGAUAGGCGGGAGACUUUGAAACCUGGACGCUAGUUCAGGUGGAGUCAACCUUGAAAUACCGCCCUGAAUGUUCUGGGCUUCUAACCCGGGUCCGUUAUCCGGAUCGGGAACAGUGUCAGGUGGGUAGUUUCACUGGGGCGGUGACCUCCUAAAAUGUAACGGAGGUGUUCAAAGGUUCCCUCAUCCUGGUUGGCCAUCAGGAUUUGAGUGCAAUCGCACAAGGGAGCUUGACUGCGAGACUGACAAGUCGAGCAGGUGCGAAAGCAGGAGAUAGUGAUCCGGCGGCUCCUCGUGGUAGGGCCGUCGCUCAUCGGCUAAAAGGUACCCUAGGGAUAACAGGCUGAUCGUGCCCAAGAGUCCAUAUCGACGGCACGGUUUGGCACCUCAAAAUUGGGGUGAAGCGGCAGAAAUGCCGCUUGAGUAUCGGCUUAUAACGGUGAACCCCGAAACUGUCGCAUCGACUGCGUACAGUGGGCAACACCGUGGGAAGUCUGUCGGGAGUGCAGCGAUCUGUUGUCAUCGGAAGUUUAUUGGGUGACGGCGCAAUGCGCUGCAAGACCAACGCCCUUCUCGAGGUCAACCACUCUGCAGCUCAACGCAGCUAUGUGGACUGGAAGUAUCAACAGCUAGCGGAGCUAGUUGCCACUCCACCCAAGCUCCGAGCCGGCAAUGAAGGCCGGAUGGCGUACCGCUUCGUGACGCGUAGCGUCUCAGCGAUGACACCGUACUACAAAGCCUUCUAUGGCAAUGGUCGCAAGGAAAUCCCGCUCAUCGAGCUGGACGACCUCGCACUAGCAGUCUGGUUCAUGGAUGAUGGUUGUCGAUCGAGGAGAGCGGUGUAUCUCAACACUCAGCAAUUCGAUGUCAAGAGUCAGAUAAGAGUCAUCGAAAUGCUUCAAGAGCAGUGGGGCUUACAGGCAACACUCAAUCGCGACAAGUGCUACUACCGGGUUCGACUCUCGGUGGCUAGUACUGUCAGAUUCGUUCGCAUCAUCGAGCCUCACUUACUCUCUGAGAUGAGAUACAAGCUCCCGCAUGUGACCCCGUAACGACUGUGGUCUUUACCGACCAAGGUGGCGAUCCUCGCCUCUUCGGAGGCAAAUCUAUGAUCGCCACAAUACGCCGACCCCUCGCCUUUGGUUGGGCAGGGUGAAGAUAUAGUCUGCGCCGCCGGAAACGGCGGAUACACGUGCGAUGUCGGCUCGUCGCAUCCUGGGGCUGGAGCAGGUCCCAAGGGUUGGGCUGUUCGCCCAUUAAAGCGGCACGCGAGCUGGGUUUAGAACGUCGUGAGACAGUGGACAAUCGCGCUGUCUAUAAAUCUGGCUAAAUGCUGGAAUCUCCGGAGCAUCCUGCGGUACCGAUUCUGUCACACCUUUCUUCUAAGGUUGGCGCAUGGAGAUCGGUGACAAUCCGCCAGGUGUGUGGCUGCAAUCAGCUACGCCGGACAAUCAGCAGGAAAGACUGAACGACUACCUUGCUGGAUACGUCGACGGGGAAGGAAGCUUCCACGUCGCAGUUCAGCGCAAUCCAUCUACAAGUCGGGCUUUCUUCGACUUGUAGAGAUAAGCCUACGGAUGAACGGAGACGGAAAGUACCGAAGGAAGGAUUGGUCGUCCAGAAUCCUCAGAGGCCAUAUGCCAGACACGGACAAAGUUCCGUGAAGAUAUGGUCCGACCCCCAUGGCGACAUGGGGAGCCAGGCGGAACCGAAACGACCUGGACGCCGGAGCCAUUUUGGUUCCGGAGGUAACAGAAGUGUCGGUCCCUAUCCUCCGCGGGCGUAGGAGACUUGAGGGGAGCUGACCCUAGUACGAGAGGACCGGGUCGGACGCAUCUCUAGUGUGCCAGUUGUCCUGCCAAGGGCAUGCUGGUUAGCUACAUGCGGAGCGGAUAAGCGCUGAAAGCAUCUAAGUGCGAAGCCGACCCCAAGAUGAGGUCUCCCACCGGGUUAACCGGGUAAGGCCCCUUGCUAGACGACAAGGUUGAUAGGCCGGAGCUGUAAGCACAGCAAUGUGUUCAGGCGACCGGUACUAAUAGGCCGAGGGCUUGGUAUC
This 2890-nucleotide ribosomal RNA is filed under the name Actinomycetota bacterium. RNAcentral's name for it is "partial 23S ribosomal RNA". The stretch from base 743 to 2878 matches the Rfam family "Bacterial large subunit ribosomal RNA", at positions 2046 to 2912 of the family's 2925-position model. Lineage: Bacteria; Bacillati; Actinomycetota. The record is from RNAcentral.